This 67-nucleotide transfer RNA is filed under the name Neodon sikimensis (Sikkim mountain vole). RNAcentral describes it as "tRNA-Thr". It matches the Rfam family "tRNA". Rfam says of the family: Transfer RNA (tRNA) molecules are approximately 80 nucleotides in length. The record is from RNAcentral. Lineage: Eukaryota; Metazoa; Chordata; Mammalia; Rodentia; Cricetidae.
GUCCUGGUAGUAUAAGCAUUACACUGGUCUUGUAAACCAGUAAUGAAAAUCUAUUUUUCCCAGGACA